This 755-nucleotide long non-coding RNA is filed under the name Volvox carteri. RNAcentral's name for it is "long non-coding RNA (VCAR_LNC004008)". The record is from RNAcentral. Lineage: Eukaryota; Viridiplantae; Chlorophyta; Chlorophyceae; Chlamydomonadales; Volvocaceae.
UGAACUUCGAGAAUGCCGUGUGACAAAUCCAUAUGGUCCUGGAGCAGCGCGCGUCGAUGUGGACGGUGGUAGGGGCCAGGAGCCUAACUAAGCUUCUGCUGUACUGUGAGCUGUCACAGAGGCCACUACGAUUAUGUUUUGGAAAGUCGGGCACCCAAUGUUACAGAGCUUUUGUCGCUGACCUGCACUUGGCCGCAACACAGAAUGUUGGGCCAGCAAGGUCACAACCUUUCUUACCAGCUUGGUUGUAAGCCCCCCGGCUGAUCCUGCCCUCAACCUGCCCCAGGGAAGCAUCCUGAGGGAUUUUGUGAAGAGGAAUGUUCAAGCAGCUAUGUCUACAGUAAUUUACGGAAAAGCUUUUCACGGAGCUCACAUCGAUACAACUCGGGCAUCAGGUUCUCAUAUCGCGGCUCAGAUGUUAAAAACACACACGCACACGCACACACACACACACACACACGCAGUUGCCCACAGCGCCGCGCACUUCUAUGGGCUCUGGAUACCAUCUACGCAUCUUGUUGGAGAAUCCUCCACGGUUUAUUUACUGGAAAAGGCACUAGUAUACGUCGCUCGACUACGGAGCUCGCAUUCGUGCACACAUGUUGGCCCGCUCCCGUGUCGCGGUUAAUCAACACACACGCACACACACACACAGGCACACGCACACACACACAUCUGGCUCUUUGACUCCUGUGUCCCUCCGUUCCCUUCCCUCUCAUCCUCCGCAACAGAUCACUGACACCACCAAAGCGCUC